This 253-nucleotide ribosomal RNA is filed under the name uncultured bacterium. RNAcentral describes it as "partial 16S ribosomal RNA". It matches the Rfam family "Bacterial small subunit ribosomal RNA", at positions 524 to 776 of the family's 1533-position model. The record is from RNAcentral.
UACGUAGGGUGCAAGCGUUGUCCGGAAUUAUUGGGCGUAAAGAGCUCGUAGGCGGUUUGUCGCGUCUGCUGUGAAAACUCGGGGCUUAACCCCGGGCCUGCAGUGGGUACGGGCAGACUAGAGUGUGGUAGGGGAGACUGGAAUUCCUGGUGUAGCGGUGGAAUGCGCAGAUAUCAGGAGGAACACCGAUGGCGAAGGCAGGUCUCUGGGCCAUUACUGACACUGAGAAGCGAAAGCAUGGGGAGCGAACAGG